Molecule: transfer RNA, 74 nt
Filed under: Pseudomonadota bacterium
Lineage: Bacteria; Pseudomonadati; Pseudomonadota
Description: Proteobacteria bacterium (marine metagenome) tRNA-Arg
Rfam family: tRNA
About the family: Transfer RNA (tRNA) molecules are approximately 80 nucleotides in length. Their secondary structure includes four short double-helical elements and three loops (D, anti-codon, and T loops). Further hydrogen bonds mediate the characteristic L-shaped molecular structure. tRNAs have two regions of fundamental functional importance: the anti-codon, which is responsible for specific mRNA codon recognition, and the 3' end, to which the tRNAs corresponding amino acid is attached (by aminoacyl-tRNA synthetases). tRNAs cope with the degeneracy of the genetic code in two manners: having more than one tRNA (with a specific anti-codon) for a particular amino acid; and 'wobble' base-pairing, i.e. permitting non-standard base-pairing at the 3rd anti-codon position.
Source: RNAcentral
GCCCUCGUAGCUCAGUUGGAUAGAGCGGCUGAUUCCUAAUCAGUAGGCCGGAGGUUCGAAUCCUCUCGAGGGUA